Non-coding RNA from Microtus oregoni (creeping vole), 390 nucleotides. The record is from the annotation of a RefSeq genome assembly. Lineage: Eukaryota; Metazoa; Chordata; Mammalia; Rodentia; Cricetidae.
ACAGAAGUCCUCACCAUGGAAUGGACAUUGGUCAUCUUCUUCUUGGCGGCUGCAUCUAUAUGUGUCCAGUCCCAGGUCCUGCUACAGCAGUCUGGGGCUGAGCUUAAGGGUCCGGGGUCUUCAGUGAAGAUGUCCUGCAAGGCUUCUGGCUACACUUUCACUGACUAUAAUAUUAACUGGAUGAAGCAGAGACCUGGACAGGGCCUAGUGUGGAUUGGAUAUAUUAAUCCUAGUAAUGGUGGUACUGGCUAUGCACAGAAGUUCCAGGGCAAGGCCACACUGACUACAGACAAAUCCUCCAGCACAGCCUACUUGGAGCUCAGCAGCCUGACAUCUGAAGACUCUGCGGUUUAUUACUGUGCCAGACACAGUGUUACAACCACAUCCUGA